This 7753-nucleotide long non-coding RNA is filed under the name Podarcis lilfordi (Lilford's wall lizard). The record is from RNAcentral. Lineage: Eukaryota; Metazoa; Chordata; Lepidosauria; Squamata; Lacertidae.
CUGAAUAUGAAAAAAUUGAAAGUUUUAUGUAAAGUCCACAUCAUUGAUUUUGCCAAGGGGACACAGGAACACCUAAUGUGUAAUUUGAGGAACUAUAUAGUCAAAGUAGUGGAGUGCCCUAAUAAGGUACCUGGAAGGGAGCAGCAGAAACAAGAUCCGAUCUUUUCCAGAAAAUGAGCUUUUAUUGAGAAAGUAAAAUGAAAAGAAAAUUGCAUGGAAAAUUACUGAAGGGUUGUCCUAAAAGGGAGAGGGGUUAAGAAAGAAAGAGAAAUGAGCAAGUUCCAGUCCUGCAGGAGGCUAUACAGUGAUGCUGUAGCAUGCAGGAGAAAGGAUGGUUGAAGUCUGAAAGUUAUAGAGGGAUGAAGCAAGUUAUGCUUUCCUUCCAUGUGACCUGCCCAAAAACUCAUCAGUGGGAGUGUGAGAGUCCAUGACAUCAGGGUGAAUCCAAAAAGCAGAGAGGAAGGGCAGGUGUUCCUUAGCCAUGACACAGCUUUACAGGACAGGAUCCCUACAUGGAGAUGUGUGGAGAUUGGUACCUGAAGCCAGGAUCUCCAGAAAUAAGUCAGGUUCAGUGUAUCACAGCAAGAUUGCUCUCCUGAAAUCACACUGGCCAUGGAAUCUUGUAGAACCUCACUAAUUUCAGGGGCCUAGGGCUAGUAGCAACCAGAAGGAAAAUUUCCAGGUUCACCAAAAAAGGAUAUAAUGGACUGUCCUUGAUGAAAAGGGUUGCUUGACUCUUCAAGGGGAUGUUUCAGUACUAAUUGGAAGGUCACUGAAGAAUUCUGGGCUCACAGGAGUCAAUUGACAAAGUGGUCUUGAAUGAAUUAGGAAGUCAGGGAGAUUUGUUUGUCUUGCCUUCCAGUGUAUAGAGGGCUGGGCCACUUUCUCUUACAUUUAAGGUGUCAGCAGGAACUGCAAAUGCAUUUUGACCUAACCCAAUAGACCAUGCAAACUAACAUUUCCAAACAAAAUGAAGACUUCUGAGCCAAGGCGCUUGGAGGUAAAAUUAUACUUUGUGGAAAGAACCUCCUUGGUCAACAGCCUGCAGCAAAUCUCAUGGGAACCGUUGAACCUGGUUGUUGAAUAACCUCAUAGCAUGCAGAAAUUGCCUCUUGUCAUAAAACCAAACCAACUUUCUUUGAACACUUACUGAGGGUGAAUUCUGGGUUCAGUUCCUCUUGUUGUCCAUUUCUCUGAUUUAUUUUAUAUUUUUCUGUGGGUAACUGUUCAUCAUAGAAGGAGUUUUGCCCUUCCUUGAUUGCUAUCCUGCUGCCUCCACUUCUUUCCGUGGGAAAUGAUGCAUAUUUUUAGAAUAAAAUAUUGCUACCACAUUUAGUGCAGGGGCACUAAAUGGACAAUUUACCAGUUAUCUUGGAAAGGCUUUCUUCAUUGUACUUUGUAUAAUGUUAUGGUGUGGGCAGGAUGUAAAAUAUUUGGAUUAUGUACUUCUAAAUGCACUUUCCUGUUAUUAAUUCUCUUUUCAAAUCUAAUAAUUCUGCUUGCAAUAAUUUAUUUACAGUAUAGCCAAGAGAUAAAUCUAUAAUUCACAAAAUACAUCAUUAAUAGGAUGCAGAGCCUCCCACUUGGACUAUUGUGAAGUUACAGCGUUGUAAAUGGGCUGCUUUUGAAAAUGGUCAAAAAACUUCAGUUGGUAUGGGAUGUAGCUGCAAGAUGUUUUUAUGAACCCAUUAUACUGUACUCCAACAUCUUCACUGGUUCCCAGUCUCUUUCAGGCCUAAUUCAAAAGUGCUAGUUUGAACUAUUAAAGUAUGGUUUGACAGUUUUGUAUCUGAACAAUUGCCUCUUCCUUCAUGUACCUAUCAUGCCUUGAGAUCAUUGGCUGAGGCGCUUCUCUGAUGGUCACCACCAAAUAAAGGGCCUUUUCAGUAGUGGCCCCUUGGUUGUGGAAAGACCUUCCCAGACGGGUCAGCCAAACACCUAUUUCACAUUUAUUUCACCUUGGAACUUUUAAAAACCUUUAUUAUGCUGUGGUUUAAUAGUAUUUUAGACCUGUGGAGUCCCCGUCCCCAUCCCCAUCCCCUGCUUUGCUCUUUAUUUUAAUUAUUUAGUGCUGUGGUGUUUUAUUUUUCUGCUCUCUGUUUUAAGGUAAAAUGUCUUGAUUUUACAUUUCUGGUUUUGAGGCAUGAUAAUUGUGAUUAAAAAAACAAAAAACUUUCACCACCUAGCAUACUUACGUUAUAUUACUGAAUGGCUAAACAAACAAUGAUAACUUUGGAUUAUCAGUAUAUUGACUUAGCAUUGAUUGAUUGAUUAACUAACAGGAUUUAUUUACUACUCGAUCAUCAACACUUUAAAGCAGUUUAUGGAAAAUAUAAAAUAUUCAUAAAUCAUUGAUUAAAUCAGAAGUUAAAAACAAGUUAACAAAAAAUUCAAAAUAUGAGUAAAAAUAGCACUUUGAAAAAUAGACAUUAUGAAAUGUCUUAUUAAAAUACAUGUCUGGGUAGCCCCACUUAAGCACAACAGUUUUUAGCAGUUGCCAAAAAUAGUACAGCAAAGGCGCUUGCUUCUAAUAUCGUACUUUGGGCAGGGAGUCCCAAAGUAUAAGUGCUACCAGACUGAAGGAUCAAUUCCUUUCAAGUGCAGAAUGAACCUUAUGUGCAACUUGUACCCAAUAUAUGAGUGAGCAAGAUUGGAUUCUGGUGUAUCAUGGUCCUACUGGUAAAAUCAACAUUGGGCAUGUUUCAACCAAAUCAUUUUUUCUUACAUUGAACCAUUAGGUGUUGAUUAUUAUUAGCUCAUUUUCACCAGACGUGUUGAGGAAUAAAUGUCUCUCCUCCAUUAAAUUUAUGGGAGAGAUUGAUAUAGCUUGUACAGCUUCAUGUUGGGAAUGCCCAUUAAAUUCAAGAAUCUAAAAGCUCUAGAGACUUGAGGACCAGUUCACACUUCUAAUUUCCCUGGUAUGCAAUCAGUUGCAACCUAUAAUGGAAUACCAAAGCAAUUGUAACAACUGAGAAAAGUGUGGCAUGAGAGUGACUGCUGACAAAAAGUAGUUGAUUCAUACAUGUGUUGAAUCAGCCAUGAGAGGGAAUGGCAGAGGCUAGAAUACUUGAUAAGCAUGUUUCACGUUUUACACAUACAGUGGUACCUUGGUUUACAAACUUAAUCCGUUUCGGAAGUCCGUUCUUAAACCAAAACCGUUCUUAAACCAAAACCGUUCUUAAACCGAGGCACACUUUCCCUAAUGAGGCCUCCCGCCACCAGUGCCCAUCCACCAUUCGACUUCCGUUCUUAGACCGAGGUAAAGUUCGCUAACCAGGACACUACUUCCGGUUUUGCAGAGUUCAUAAACCAAAUCGUUCGUAAACAGGGUUGUUCUUAAACCGAGGUCCCACUGUACUCUGAUGUCAAGUAACUCAGCUAGAUGGACAUUGGAGGGCGCCUUUUUAUAGUUUCUAAUGUGUCAUGAAAUUAAGUACAGUGGUACCUCUACUUACGGACGCGAUCCAUUCUGGGGUGCUGUUUGCACCCCGAAAAGUCGGUAAGUAGAGCGCCGCUUCUGCGCGUGAUGCAAUAGAGCGCUCCUGUGCAUGCGGCGAAACCCAGAAGUAUACACUUCCGGGUUUGCUGUGUUCGCAACCCAAAAUACACAACAUGAUCCUAACACAACUAGAGGUAUGACUAUAUGUAUUCUGCCUACUCUGGUUCAGGAGCAGCACUUAGCUAACAAAUAACCCCUCUUUUCAGAGCAGGUUGAUACUAUUCAGACUGUAGAUCACUUGCUGUGAUAAGGUACAUUUUUUCUUAAACAAAAGAGGCUGGAACAAUUUUUGUUCUAUUUGGAAAACAAGGCUAUGGGAGCAGGAAGGAAUCUAUAUAGGCCAAAUAAAAAGGAUAAAAUCAGAGUAGAGAAGAAAACUGUAUUGUAAUGGCUCUCAGAGGAAAGAGCCAACGUUGGUUAGUAAAAAAAAAAAAAUUUUUUUUUUUAAAAAAAUCGGCAACUUGCCACACAUUUUUUUUAAUCCAUAGUUUAUUUAUCAGAAUAGAUAAGCAGAGACAGUGCUUUAGCUCAGCUGAUAGACCUUGAGACUUACCGGUACUCUCAAGGUUAUGGGUUCCAGUCCCACGUUGGGCAAAAAGAUUCCUUCAUUGCAGAGUGGUGGUCCCUUCCAGCUGUACCAUUCUGUGAUUCUGUGACCAUUGGGUACUGCUAUUCAUGCAGGCAUAUGCUGAUUUUGUAGAGGGUGAACUGAGCCCACAGACAGUCGCAAAUUAAUUUUAAGAGAGCUUGUACUGUAUUAGUAGUAUGGCAAGCUGAGGCUUCUCUGGUCUUGCAAAUGUUGACUUUGUAAAGAUGGCUGAAAAUUGCACACGAGACCAGUAGUAAGGGAGUCUGCCCAGUUUUAGGUUUAGCAGACCUCUGCUAAUUUUCUCUGUUGCAUGUUAGAGGAUCUGGGAUUUAGCCAUGCAUCGUGACAUCAUCUGUUUUGCAGACAGUUGUGAGACUUCAGAAUAAAUAGCAGUCUAAUUCCAGCAGUCUGUGGGUUGGUUUUCUGCUGAGUGGGAGCAGAACAAAACCAGCUUUGUGAUGGGUUGUUUUUAUGUUUCUCCAAGGAGCUGUUGGAAGUCUAAAUUAUAGUUUUUCUGAUGGCUAUUUGAGAAAGGGCAGCUAAAAUGGAGGGGUGUUACUGGGAAAACAGUUGUCAGAUGGCUACAAUAGAGGUUUCCAUUAGCUGAUGAAGCACUUAGAAGUGGGAGGUCUAUGGAGUCUGAUCAGCAUUGAUAUGGAAAAGGAGAGUGCCUGUCAGAGAUCAGUUUUCUAAAUGGAUGUUGGGGGAAAUGUUUGUCCAGAAUCAGGGCUAUGUCCUGGAGUGAAGGUUAGAACUGAAGAAGGUUAGACUAUUGGAGGGGCAGGGGACCUAGUCACAGAAAGUAGAUUGUGUUGCACUCAGUUGGGUUUAUAGCUUGGGUUGGAGGCUGAAACGGAGAGCUAGUAAAACAAAUUCAGCGUUAAAAAAUCCUUAAUUUAAAUAUCAAGGUGUCUAGAUAACUGCUGCUAGAAAGCUCAAGAUACACAAUUGUUGUUGUUGAGCUAGGUUCCCAGAAGGUAGGCAGCCAGAAGAGGUCCUUCAAAUACUCUUGCCAGAAUCUUAAAGGUUGGUCUAGUUCAAAAAAAAGCAAGCAAUUUGAUUCUAAGGGUUCAUUUUAUCUGAAGACUAUCCAGUUGGACUCCAACUCAUUACUAGAUGUGGAUAUGUUUAGCUGUAGUGAUUUGUUUGAAGUGCUGUGAUAUUUGGAAGAAGACCAUAAUCUUGAAAAUGAAAUCUUUCCUGGCCUGCAGUUCGGUGUGUGAUUUGUUCCCCUCCAGGGCAUUCUUGUUUCUGUUUAGCAUUCUGUGAGCCAUAUUGAGACCUGGGCCUUGUUUAAUCAUUUUGGUUCUGAUUGCUUACUUGUAUCCAUGGGUCGCAUCUUGAAUUCAGUGUUUUGCAUUACAAAUCCGCUCUCAGGAGAUGGGCAGAAUAUAUGGCUCCAUCUGCCAUGUCUCAUUUUAGCUUUUUUAAAUGUGUUCCCAUUAACAGGUGAAAUACUCAGCCCACAGAGAAUUAGGCUCAUGUCUCGGUAUACAAUUGAAGAUGAAUGCUGUCCAUGCAUUCAUCUUCAAUUCUGCAGCUUGAUGAUGAGGUGGUUGUAACAAAAUAUUCAAAAGUGUUAACCUGUUAUUUAUGCUGUUGAGAUCAUAGGUUUCAGUCAUGUGAUCAGCUUGUGGUUUUUUUAAACCCUGAUCUGUUUACUUCCUUAUUCUGCCUAUGCACCAAAUUCUAAAUUCCACAGAAAAUGCAAGAAAAGCAGAUUACUCAAAAGAAUAUAAUUUACGCUCUUUUGAUCUUUGGAAUUGGCUAGAAAUGCCUUAGAAAUGAAGAUUUCUCCUUAUUACUAUAGACUUUAGAAGUUUAAAAAAAUGCUAUACUGAAGGUGCUAUUAAUGAUUCUGAUGCUGGUAUUAGGAUUUAUAUAGAUUAUCAUUUAUAUUAAACCAUAAUUUGGUAUCGCUCAGCAGUUUUCGUGAUAGAAUUAUUUUUAGUGAUUAAAAUACAUCUUUUCCGUGUCACAUUUAAUUCCUUAACCAGCUAGUUAACACCUUUGUUUAAGAUAUUCUGCUUCAGCAUGUGACACUGCUUGGAUUUUAUUUUAUUUUAUUUUAUUUUUUAAGCUGAGAAGAUGAACAUUUUAUCUGUUUGAAGGGCUAAAAGUAGAUUGGAGAAAAAUGAUCAUUUUUAUUUUUUAUCUAGUAACCCUCCUAAAAGAUAAAAUAACUGUUGCUGUAGCAAGAAACUGCUUCUUUCAGAAGUGGCUAUGCUGAGCUGUUUUUUAUGCAGUCCAUUUCGUAGUGAAAAUGCUGAUUUGAUAUCCAAUUAAUUAUCUCAAAUUAUUUCUAUCCUAUGUAGAUAUUUUAGAGGGGAAGCCAAGGAAGAACAUUAUCACUUGCUGAUGCUGAGCAAACUAGCCCACUUCACAGAGUGUAAUAACUGCAGUCAGAUGGUCAUCCAUAUUUGUGACGCCAAAGAUGAGCACCUUGGCCAUGCAAUCAUCUCUCACCCAUCCCCUGCUCCCAUUGCACACCAGCUUCAGUAUGGAGAUCCUGACUUGCAUUACAACUAGAGGUUUCUGUUUUGUCCGAACGGGAAAACUCUACCUUAAUGUUGGUUAACCAACUUGGAUAAUAAGGCAGAAUUUCAUCCUGGAUUUUAAGAAUAAUAAGCCAGGACCUCUCUGCCUGUUUUUGGCAUGCAGUAGGAGAAGGAGAGACGUGGCCAUAGUACUCGACCUUGAUUUCAUCAAUGUCCAAAUGAAGCUUCUGUGUUCCUGUAAGCUUUUCUUUUUCUUUUUACCAAUUUUAAGUCGUUGGGAAUAGCACUGUAGUGUUCUGGGCUGGAAAGAGUAUUGGUAGGCAACUUUGCUCUGCCAGCAGCAGCAGUUUCUUAGUCUUUGGACCUUUAAAAUCAAACAAGUAGAAACUUUGGCUCUUUAGAUCAGCCUUUUAGCUCUUUUCUCACUCCAGCCUAUCCUUGUAACUACCCAUUCAAGAGAAGCGGAAGACAGAGUGUGGUGACAUUUUUUUCCUUGUUGGUUCUCCUUCAAGUUUAAGAAAAACCAACACAUUACUUCCCUACUAGCUGAAAAGAGUACCAGGCACUACACUGCCCCAGGAAUAUGAUGUGGAUGGGUGAGGAAAUGAAGUGGACAGUGGUUUAGUGAUGAGGUGGGUAUAAUGUCAUGAAGUAAUUGCAAGGAUGAGUUAGCUCUAAUACAUUCUAGAAUACGCAAAUAUUUCAGUGUGACUGCUAAAACGUUUAUUUUAACCUUACAUUCCAUAUUGUUUUUCAUGGCAUAAAAUGCCCUAGAAUAUACUGGCUAUGGGGCAUCUCUUGCUCAGAUCUGCUCUGCUUUCCUCUCCCCCCACUUUGGAAUCAAAGAAGAUUAAUUCCCAACCUCCACCUUCCAUUUUCAACAGCCCACUUAAUCCCUGUUCAGUUCUUCUUUUCUCUGUAUUACCACAUGCUCACUCAUUCAUGGUUUGCUUAGCAUUGCAUGCAACUGUGCUUUGGGGACAACAUCAUGGCAGACAUGAAGUCCUGAGUAGACUCUGGCACUGCUGACUUCUUACGGGCACUGAGGUCCCUCAGGACAGUCAGUCUAGGCACUGUUGGCACCAAAACUGAGAUAAUCUCCAUCAGAUCAAGCUGGGAAACUGUUCGGCAUCUGGAUGGUCAGCACACUAAGAGCAGAUCCACUUU